RNAcentral lists this long non-coding RNA (777 nucleotides) under Malus domestica (apple). RNAcentral describes it as "long non-coding RNA (MDOM_LNC003713)". Lineage: Eukaryota; Viridiplantae; Streptophyta; Magnoliopsida; Rosales; Rosaceae. The record is from RNAcentral.
AUUUUUUUCUUUUUUGGUGUUAUUAUUUAUUUACUUCUAUUUUUUUUUUCUUUGUCAAAAGAUAGACUAAAUUCAGGGCCUAUCUCGUCCCAAACAAAUAAACCACCAUGUUUGUUAGUACAGGUGGCAACCGUGUGAGCAACCAGGUUGCUCCCCCACAGCACAAACCCUAUUUUGACAUCUCCAAUAUGCUUCACCAAAGAAUCAAUAUCAAACAGAAGACAUUCCAAAUCAAUAUCCACUUCAAUCUCCUUGUUAAUAAUUCGCAAUAGAACCUGGACAUCCGAUUCAAUCUCCACCUUGGUAAAUCCUUCGUUAUUGAAGUUUACGUCACUACUUUUGAUUGGUGGGUUCGUGUCUUAGGCCAGAUGUCCACAAUGUCGAGUUGUUUAGGUGGUGGCGGUGCUUCUUUCAUGCGACUUGCCUCAACUAAGAGAGAAAGAUGAUGCUUUAUGUCUUUAUGCUUUAUAUCUUGUCCAAGAUGAAAUUUUAUAGGAUGUCAUAGUAACGGUAUAAUCAUGUGGUGUUAUGCAAAAAAAAUUUGUGUAAAUCUCAGUUUACUACUCUUAAAUUCCGUAGUUUUCAACAUUUAGUACAUGAAGUUUUUUUCAUCCCAGAGUCAUACCUAAAGUGUUAAUUUUAGGGCAGUCUCAUACAUUCAUUAGUUUGGCUGUUAAGUCUCUCGUUAACUGAUGACGUUGCGCCCAUGUGUAUAAUGACUGGACGCCAUGUGUCAUUAAAAAAAUAUUAAAAUAUUAAAAUAAUUAAUUAAAUAAA